CUCUUGAAAUACUUCAAGUAACCUCUGCCCUAUGAAUAGUUUAAAUGGCCGCAGUACUUUGACUGUGCAAAGGUAGCAUAAUCAUUUGCUUUUUAAUUGGAAGCUGGAAUGAAGGAGGCGACGAAAUUUAGACUAUUUGGCUUCAAGGUAAAAUUAACAUAAAGGUCAAAAGGCCUUUAUAGUCCAAAGGGACGACAAGACCCUAUAAAACUUCACUAUGAAGAAGGUCAUUUGGAUGAGAUUUUAAAUUUAUAGUUUAGCUGGGGCGGUUUAAAUAAAAACAAUUGAAAUAUAAAUAUUUUAAAUAGAUAUAGAGAGCUUUAUUAGAAAAUGAACAAGUUACUUUAGGGAUAACAGCAUAAUUCUCCCGGAGAGUCCUAAUUGGCGGGAGAGCUUAUGACCUCGAUGUUGAAUUGGGAAAUCUAGUAUAAGUAGC
RNAcentral lists this ribosomal RNA (436 nucleotides) under Proasellus aff. escolai s209. Its description in RNAcentral is "partial 16S ribosomal RNA". It matches the Rfam family "Bacterial large subunit ribosomal RNA", at positions 1835 to 2559 of the family's 2925-position model. The record is from RNAcentral. Lineage: Eukaryota; Metazoa; Arthropoda; Malacostraca; Isopoda; Asellidae.